AUUAAAGCUCUUCCGGGCGGCGACACACUUUUCCCGAAAGCGCUCUGAAAGCGGCCGGUUCGAUCCGGCCGCUUCGAUGCU
Molecule: small RNA, 81 nt
Filed under: Sinorhizobium meliloti 2011
Lineage: Bacteria; Pseudomonadati; Pseudomonadota; Alphaproteobacteria; Hyphomicrobiales; Rhizobiaceae
Description: putative ncRNA
Source: RNAcentral